Long non-coding RNA from Cyprinus carpio (common carp), 768 nucleotides. RefSeq lists it as uncharacterized. The record is from RefSeq and is a predicted model, not a curated record. The transcript has 2 exons. NCBI's taxonomy places the organism in Eukaryota, Metazoa, Chordata, Actinopteri, Cypriniformes, Cyprinidae.
AAAACAAGUCUGAGCCAUCUGUUGACAGUCCAAGUAUGAGAAGGGAUGGUCCCCCAAAUGGUUCAGGUCAUGCUUAGAAGGGAAGGUUUACAAUCUGAACACUGGCAACCAUAUAUCUGAGUGGACAUCUGAGGGUUAAACAGGACUGAAGGCACAUUUGACUGUAUUCUCCUUUAAAACUGCUCUCCGCUGGACACAGUGGUACUGGAGGCAACACAUUCUGAUAUGUUGCCAUUAAAGCAAAGGGAUACACAACCUGAAACAGAAGAGAACACAGAAACAUACGUCCCAAGCCCUAAUUAUAUUUUAAAAGUCAAAACAAAUGAGUGUAAAAAAAAAAAAGAAGAUUACCACAGUGCUUAUGUAUUAUAUAUUAAGUAAUGCAAUUUUAUAGGCAGUCCACUGUAAUGUUAGGAAAAGUAUUUACAUUGUAAUAAAGCAAUUCAUAGCAUCAUUUUCGUCAUGCAAACAAGGCCGAUCAGUGUGUUCUGGAUUUUUUUUUUUUUUUUUUUUUUUUUUUGUAUACAACUGAUCUAGAACUACGUGUAAGUCCCAUAUUCUGUCACUCAAACAAACUUUGUACUGGACAGAUAUUUUAUACAUGUAACGUCAUGCAUGUAUAGCUUAGAAAGAAACAGUAUAGCUUUUCACUGUGAUUAUUUUCUUAGUCUACAUAAAAACAUACUCGCUACCAAGUGGUAUUUCAUGUAGCCAAGAAAAAUAACCACGGCAAAUAACUAAGGUGAAUAAAGUUGUACUCAUACUUCA